This 389-nucleotide ribosomal RNA is filed under the name uncultured bacterium. Its description in RNAcentral is "partial 16S ribosomal RNA". It matches the Rfam family "Bacterial small subunit ribosomal RNA", at positions 338 to 724 of the family's 1533-position model. The record is from RNAcentral.
CCUACGGGUGGCAGCAGUGAGGAAUAUUGGUCAAUGGGCGUAAGCCUGAACCAGCCAAGUCGCGUGAGGGAUGAAGGUUCUAUGGAUCGUAAACCUCUUUUAUAAGGGAAUAAAGUGUGGGACGUGUCCCGUUUUGUAUGUACCUUAUGAAUAAGGAUCGGCUAACUCCGUGCCAGCAGCCGCGGUAAUACGGAGGAUCCGAGCGUUAUCCGGAUUUAUUGGGUUUAAAGGGUGCGUAGGCGGCCUGUUAAGUCAGUUGUGAAAGUUUGCGGCUCAACCGUAGAAUUGCAGUUGAAACUGGGAGGCUUGAGUAUGUUAGAGGCAGGCGGAAUGCGUGGUGUAGCGGUGAAAUGCUUAGAUAUCACGAAGAAACCCGAUUGCGAAGGCAG